Rosa rugosa (rugosa rose) is the source of this 2617-nucleotide long non-coding RNA. RefSeq lists it as uncharacterized. The transcript is spliced from 3 exons. Lineage: Eukaryota; Viridiplantae; Streptophyta; Magnoliopsida; Rosales; Rosaceae. The record is from RefSeq and is a predicted model, not a curated record.
UUAGAAUCCUUGCAAUUAUUGAUGGGCGGGACUCCAAAAUCACAAUUGCAACGAUCUGACGAUUCCUUGUUUUUAUUUGUGGACUCCUCUCGGAGCCCUUAUCACUAGACUGAGUCUAGUUAGAAAAAGAAGAAACAAAAGUUCUCAGACUUCUCUUUGGUCCUUCCAGAUCGAUGAAGAACACACCCAAAAUACCAAAACCCCAAAUCCAACUGUGAAUGGCGAAUCUGGAACUCAUGAACACUCGCACUCAAAGUCAACAACGCAAGGUUCUCCAUCUCUCAUGUCGUCAUCGCCACCUAUCUCUGCUUUCUUGCUCAAUUAGUUUGGGUCUUCUUUAUCGCUCGCAAGGUUGAAUUGUUCUGGUGAUGCCGAUUGAAAUUACUCGUGAAUGUGUAUUUGAGGUAUUGUAACAUUUCUAGAUCCCCCCAUUUAAGAUGUUCAGAAUGUGGAUAUCGAUGGUUGGAUUUCUUUGGAUGAAUACUUUCACAUUGCUCUUGGAGUCUUGGUACAGUUUGAAACAGUUUUCACUAUAUUUUUUCCCUCAUAAUGUUAUAUUAGCUAUUUUGUUGACUGCAUUCCUAUCACACUUCAUUAUCUCCCUAAUUUUGGAUUUACUCUCGGAACUUUAUUACACUAAGUUUGAAGAUUAACUUAUUUGAAAAGUGGGACUCUGAUUGUUGAUGCUGGUGUGUGAUUAUUUCAGAUAUGAAAGUUAUAGGUGAUUUGAGUUGCUAGCUUAAAUUUGUUGUGCAGAUAGCCAGAUAGUAGUAAUAAGAACAAAAAAUAGAAGAAAGAACACAGAAACAGAAACAAAAUUGAUCACCUCUAUAGUUCUAGGGGACCUUCAAAGUGAAAGCCAGUCACUUUAGUGCAUGAGAAAGUACCUUAAAAGAAUAAACUAAUAACAUUCUCGAAAAGUAUCAAGUAUGUAGUGAGUUGAAGCUCCAUUGUUACUGAAACUUGAUACUUCCAGGCCCAUUAUCUUUUUCAUUCAUAUCAUAAUCCCAUAAACACGUCUUGCACUCAAUAUAUGGUGUAGCAUGUUAACAGAUAUUUUACUAAUAGUACUGAUGCAUUUUUAGAAUGAAAAUGUUGUCUAAUUGUAUUCACUAUCUCUGCAGCAAACGCUCUAGCUACCUAAGUAAUGUUAUAGAUAGAUUCCUUCAACUUCUUUGAAGAAAUUUACUCAGCUUUCACUUGAUUGUUGUCUCUUUGAUAUAGAAAUGUUCUGAGAGAUCACUUGAUAAUCAUGCCUACUACUCUACUAGUGCAUUCUUUGCAGUUGGAUCAUUAUUUUUCCGUGUGGUUCCUGUAAAAUCAAUCCUCUCAAGUUGGAGUUUGCUAUAUAUUCUAGUAUGCAGUGUAGGAUACUUUCAAGCUAACUUCUUGAAACUAGUUCAAAAUGGUUGAUAGCAACGCAUCAUCUGCAAAGGUACAUAGCUGACUCAACUGUUCUGCCAUCUUAGAAGAUCGUAUUGAAUCCAAAAGUAGUACCAUAAAGCAUUUUAUGCACCUGUUCUGUUUGAGGGUUAAAGAAUAAAAGAGUGACUCUCCAACACAAAUAUGGUUAGUUCUGUAAUUGGUUUAAUUAUAAUUGGAUAUUGGAUAAAAUUUCAGUGAUGUCCUAGUCUUAUUUACAUACACAUUGAGUAAUGCUUAUUUACUGUCCACUAUGUGCAAUUUCUUUUGCAAGUGAACUGGGAGUUUUGUUCCUAUCUUUUACUUUAUGGCAUAUGGGGGGGUUUGAGAUCAUAUAGGCUGAAUUUAAUGGCAUGUAAAUAUAUCAGAUCACAGCUAGUUGUCGAGUGAUGCUAUACGUAUAUUAUUAUGUAAAUCUAUGCAAUUGGAGGCUAUGCAAUUGGAGUAGGGAUAAAACGGUAGAAGGAUACUUCUUUUAACUUUAAUGGUCCAGUCACUGGUCUUAUUAUUAUUACAAUAGUAAAGCUUUGGAUGUCAAUGAGCAAUUUUCCUGUUAAGUGAUAUAGGGAAGCCUGUUACUCGUUUUCUUCAUCUCUAUCUCUCAUAUCAUAUUAGGUCGUCAUUGGAAAUCUGUUAGCUUAAACUGCUCUAUUGUUUGAUUUCAGAUUAAUUGUUUCCCUUAUAUCUAGGCCAUGACUCUUGGAUUUUGUUCCAAAUUUGCUUCAGAGCCAUGCGUUUAGAAGUUUGUACUGUUUUAUGUUUGAUCAUAUGGAAGUGGGGAAAUCCCCAAAUUGGCGGGCUGCAUAUUUGGUUAAAAUAGGGUCUGCCUUUUUUGUUUUCAUGGGAUUGAUAGUCUAGACACGCCAUUAAGAAGGUAAUAGGAAAAAGAAAAAGCCUGUUGUCAAACUUGGAUCCAAUAAGCAUAGCUCAAUUUUCGGUUUCUUUGAAAGUAAAGAGUACCUUUUUUGUAUUAUUUUGAUUCAUAUUACGGCACAACCUGUGGAAACUACUACAUAAAGAUUUGCAACCAGUUCCUUAUCCUUUAUCAAUCUGCUCCAAGUUUUGAUUUAGUCAUUAGUUGCAUGCAACAUGGUCUUGUCUGUGCAUAAGUUUGAGAGAAUCUUUCAAUUGGACAUAAUAGAUUGAUAAAAUGAUACCCCUCUCUCUGUCCCUCCCUCCCUCCCUCACUGUUGAU